CAGUAGCCGCGGGAAUACAGAGGAUGCAAGCGUUAUCCGGAAUGAUUGGGCGUAAAGUGUCUGUAGGUGGCUUUUCAAGUCCGCCGUCAAAUCCCAGGGCUCAACCCUGGACAGGUGGUGGAAACUACCAAGCUGGAGUAUGGUAGGGGCAGAGGGAACUUCCGGUGGAGCGGUGAAAUGCAUUGAGAUCGGAAAGAACACCAACGGCGAAAGCACUCUGCUGGGCCGACAUUGACACUGAGAGACGAAAGGUAGGGGAGCAAAUGGGAUUAGAUACCCCGGUAGUCCCUGUCUCUUAUAC
Molecule: ribosomal RNA, 301 nt
Filed under: uncultured bacterium
Lineage: Bacteria
Description: partial 16S ribosomal RNA
Rfam family: Bacterial small subunit ribosomal RNA
Source: RNAcentral